CCUACGGGAGGCUGCAGUAAGGAAUAUUGGUCAAUGGGCGCAAGCCUGAACCAGCCAUGCCGCGUGCAGGAAGACGGCCUACGGGUUGUAAACUGCUUUUAUACGGGAAUAUGUACUGUAAGAAUAAGGAUCGGCUAACUCCGUGCCAGCAGCCGCGGUAAUACGGAGGAUCCAAGCGUUAUCCGGAUUUAUUGGGUUUAAAGGGUGCGUAGGCGGCCUAUUAAGUCAGGGGUGAAAGACGGUAGCUUAACUAUCGCAGUGCCUUUGAUACUGAUGGGCUUGAAUAUACUAGAAGUAGGCGGAAUGUGACAAGUAGCGGUGAAAUGCAUAGAUAUGUCACAGAACACCGAUUGCGAAGGCAGCUUACUAUGGAUAUUGACGCUGAGGCACGAAAGCGUGGGGAUCAAACAGGAUUAGAUACCCUUGUAGUC
This 431-nucleotide ribosomal RNA is filed under the name uncultured bacterium. RNAcentral's name for it is "partial 16S ribosomal RNA". It matches the Rfam family "Bacterial small subunit ribosomal RNA", at positions 338 to 795 of the family's 1533-position model. The record is from RNAcentral.